CGUACAGGUCUCCGUAGGUGAACCUGCGGAGGGAUCAUUACAAGAACGCCCGGGCUUCGGCCUGGUUAUUCAUAACCCUUUGUUGUCCGACUCUGUUGCCUCCGGGGCGACCCUGCCUUCGGGCGGGGGCUCCGAGUGGACACUUCAAACUCUUGCGUAACUUUGCAGUCUGAGUAAACUUAAUUAAUAAAUUAAAACUUUUAACAACGGAUCUCUUGGUUCUGGCAUCGAUGAAGAACGCAGCGAAAUGCGAUAAGUAAUGUGAAUUGCAGAAUUCAGUGAAUCUUCGAAUCUUUGAACGCACAUUGCGCCCCCUGGUAUUCCGGGAGGCAUGCCUGUUCGAGCGUCAUUUCACCACUCAAGCCUCGCUUGGUAUUGGGCAACGCGGUCCGCCGCGUGCCUCAAAUCGUCCGGCUGGGUCUUCUGUCCCCUAAGCGUNGUGGAAACUAUUCGCUAAAGGGUGUUCGGGAGGCUACGCCGNAAAACAACCCCAUUUCUAAGGUUGACCUCNGAUCA
RNAcentral lists this ribosomal RNA (516 nucleotides) under uncultured fungus. Its description in RNAcentral is "eukaryotic LSU rRNA". The stretch from base 196 to 349 matches the Rfam family "5.8S ribosomal RNA". Lineage: Eukaryota; Fungi. The record is from RNAcentral.